UUGGAGACGCAACCUAAAAGGGUACGG
RNAcentral lists this small RNA (27 nucleotides) under Bombyx mori (domestic silkworm). Its description in RNAcentral is "ovarian small RNA-9744". Lineage: Eukaryota; Metazoa; Arthropoda; Insecta; Lepidoptera; Bombycidae. The record is from RNAcentral.